This 444-nucleotide ribosomal RNA is filed under the name uncultured bacterium. RNAcentral describes it as "partial 16S ribosomal RNA". It matches the Rfam family "Bacterial small subunit ribosomal RNA", at positions 354 to 795 of the family's 1533-position model. The record is from RNAcentral.
GUGAGGAAUAUUGCGCAAUGGAGGCAACUCUGACGCAGCCAUGCCGCGUGCAGGAAGAAGGCGCUACGCGUUGUAAACUGCUUUUAACCGGGAAGAAACCCCAGGACGUGUCCUGGGUUGACGGUACCGGAGGAAUAAGCACCGGCUAACUUCGUGCCAGCAGCCGCGGUAAUACGAAGGGUGCAAGCGUUAUCCGGAUUCAUUGGGUUUAAAGGGUGCGUAGGCGGAGCGUUAAGUCAGUGGUGAAAUCCUGCAGCUUAACUGUAGACUUGCCAUUGAUACUGGCGCUCUUGAGUGCGCUUGAAGUGGGCGGAAUGUGCCGUGUAGCGGUGAAAUGCUUAGAUAUGGCACAGAACACCAAUUGCGAAGGCAGCUCACUAAGGCGAUACUGACGCUGAGGCACGAAAGCGUGGGGAUCGAACAGGAUUAGAUACCCUGGUAGUC